Molecule: ribosomal RNA, 468 nt
Filed under: uncultured bacterium
Lineage: Bacteria
Description: partial 16S ribosomal RNA
Rfam family: Bacterial small subunit ribosomal RNA
Source: RNAcentral
GACGAACGCUGGCGGCGUGCUUAACACAUGCAAGUCGAACGGAAAGGCCCUGCUUUUGUGGGGUGCUCGAGUGGCGAACGGGUGAGUAACACGUGAGUAACCUGCCCUUGACUUUGGGAUAACUUCAGGAAACUGGGGCUAAUACCGGAUAGGAUCUCCUGCUGCCUUGUGGGGGUUGGUAAGUUUCGGCGGUUGGGGAUGGACUCGCGGCUUAUCAGCUUGUUGGUGGGGUAGUGGCUUACCACGGCUUUGACGGGUAGCAGGCCUGAGAGGGUGACCGGCCACAUUGGGACUGAGAUACGGCCGGGACUCGUACGGGAGGCAGCAGUAGGGAAUAUUGCACGAUGGGCGGAAGCCUGAUGCAGGAACGCCGCGUGCGGGAUGACGGCCUUCGGGUUGUAGACCGCUUUCGCCUGUGACGAAGCGUGAGUGACGGUAAUGGGUAAAGAAGCACCGGCUAACUACGUG